CAGCCGCCGCGGUAAUACGUAGGUGGCAAGCGUUGUCCGGAAUUAUUGGGCGUAAAGGGCUUGCAGGCGGUUUCUUAAGUCUGAUGUGAAAGCCCCCGGCUCAACCGGGGAGGGUCAUUGGAAACUGGGAAACUUGAGUGCAGAAGAGGAGAGUGGAAUUCCACGUGUAGCGGUGAAAUGCGUAGAGAUGUGGAGGAACACCAGUGGCGAAGGCGACUCUCUGGUCUGUAACUGACGCUGAGGAGCGAAAGCGUGGGGAGCGAACAGGAUUAGAUACCCCGGUAGUCCCUGUCUCUUAUAC
This 301-nucleotide ribosomal RNA is filed under the name uncultured bacterium. RNAcentral's name for it is "partial 16S ribosomal RNA". It matches the Rfam family "Bacterial small subunit ribosomal RNA", at positions 509 to 807 of the family's 1533-position model. The record is from RNAcentral.